This 508-nucleotide ribosomal RNA is filed under the name uncultured bacterium. Its description in RNAcentral is "bacterial SSU rRNA". It matches the Rfam family "Bacterial small subunit ribosomal RNA", at positions 18 to 518 of the family's 1533-position model. The record is from RNAcentral.
UCUGGCUCAGGAUGAACGCUAGCUACAGGCUUAACACAUGCAAGUCGAGGGCAGCAUGAACUUAGCUGCUAAGUUGAUGGCGACCGGCGCACGGGUGAGUAACGCGUAUCCAACCUUCCCAUAGUAGGCAUAGCCCGGCGAAAGUCGGAUUAAUACCCUAUGUUCUCCGACGAUGGCAUCUGACUUGGAGCAAAGGUUUUUCCGCUAUGGGAUGGGGAUGCGUCCGAUUAGCUUGCCGGCGGGGUAACGGCCCACCGGGGCUUCGAUCGGUAGGGGUUCUGAGAGGAAGGUCCCCCACAUUGGAACUGAGACACGGUCCAAACUCCUACGGGAGGCAGCAGUGAGGAAUAUUGGUCAAUGGGCGCGAGCCUGAACCAGCCCAAGUAGCGUGCAGGAUGACGGCCCUACGGGUUGUAAACUGCUUUUGUACGGGAAUAAAGUGCGGGACGCGUCCCGUUUUGUAUGUACCGUAAGAAUAAGGACCGGCUAAUUCCGUGCCAGCCGCCGC